ACAAGACGGAGGAACAUGUGGUUUAAUUCGUAUGAUACGCGAGGAACCUUACCCGGGCUUGAAUGCAGAGGAACAUAGUUGAAAGAUUAUGGCCGGCAAGGUCUCUGUGAAGGUGCUGCAUGGUUGUCGUCAGCUCGUGCCGUGAGGUGUCGGCUUAAGUGCCAUAACGAGCGCAACCCUUAUCAUUAGUUACUAACAGGUCAUGCUGAGGACUCUAGUGAGACUGCCGUCGUAAGAUGUGAGGAAGGUGGGGAUGACGUCAAAUCAGCACGGCCCUUACGUCCGGGGCUACACACGUGUUACAAUGGGGGGUACAGAGGGCAGCUACCGGGCGACCGGAGUGCCAAUCCCAAAAACCUCUCUCAGUUCGGAUCGAAGUCUGCAACCCGACUUCGUGAAGCUGGAUUCGCUAGUAAUCGCGCAUCAGCCACGGCGCGGUGAAUACGUUCCCGGGCCUU
Molecule: ribosomal RNA, 458 nt
Filed under: uncultured Bacteroides sp.
Lineage: Bacteria; Pseudomonadati; Bacteroidota; Bacteroidia; Bacteroidales; Bacteroidaceae
Description: bacterial SSU rRNA
Rfam family: Bacterial small subunit ribosomal RNA
Source: RNAcentral